AACGAACGCUGGCGGCAGGCCUAAAACAUGCAAGUCGAGCGCCCAGCAAUGGGAGCGGCGGACGGGUGAGUAACACGUGGGAAUGUACCUUUCGGUGCGGAACAACUCAGGGAAACUUGAGCUAAUGCCGCAUACGCCCUUACGGGGAAAGAUUUAUCGCCGAAAGAUCAGCCCGCGUUGGAUUAGCUUGUUGGUGAGGUAAUGGCUCACCAAGGCGACGAUCCAUAGCUGGUUUGAGAGAACGACCAGCCACACUGGGACUGAGACACGGCCCAGACUCCUACGGGAGGCAGCAGUUGGGAAUCUUGGACAAUGGGGGAAACCCUGAUCCAGCCAUGCCGCGUGAGUGAUGAAGGCCUUCGGGUUGUAAAACUCUUUCGACGGGGACGAUAAUGACGGUACCCGUAGAAGAAGCUCCGGCUAACUUCGUGCCAGCCGCCGCGGUAA
Molecule: ribosomal RNA, 447 nt
Filed under: uncultured bacterium
Lineage: Bacteria
Description: partial 16S ribosomal RNA
Rfam family: Bacterial small subunit ribosomal RNA
Source: RNAcentral